Molecule: ribosomal RNA, 99 nt
Organism: Cercocebus atys (sooty mangabey)
Lineage: Eukaryota; Metazoa; Chordata; Mammalia; Primates; Cercopithecidae
Source: Ensembl
GUCUACUGCCAUACCACCCUGAUCCUGGAAGCUAAGCAGGGUCAAGUCCAGCUAGGACCUGGAUGGGAGACUGUCUGGGAAUACCGGAAGUGGUGGGCU